AAGACGAUGACGUUGAUAGGUCGGGUGUGUAAGUGUAGCGAUACAUUGAGCUAACCGAUACUAAUGAACCGUGAGGCUUAACCUUACAACGCCGAAGGUGUUU
Molecule: ribosomal RNA, 103 nt
Filed under: Citrobacter freundii
Lineage: Bacteria; Pseudomonadati; Pseudomonadota; Gammaproteobacteria; Enterobacterales; Enterobacteriaceae
Description: partial 23S ribosomal RNA
Rfam family: Bacterial large subunit ribosomal RNA (bases 1-85)
Source: RNAcentral